Long non-coding RNA from Cicer arietinum (chickpea), 1237 nucleotides. RefSeq lists it as uncharacterized. NCBI's taxonomy places the organism in Eukaryota, Viridiplantae, Streptophyta, Magnoliopsida, Fabales, Fabaceae. The record is from RefSeq and is a predicted model, not a curated record.
GUAAGUGCCCAUAUUUAUAGCUGUAAUUACUAGGUUUUGCUUUUCAACGGUAUUGUUUGGACCACAAGUAUGUUUCAAGCGCUCCCCAGCGGGAACGACGGUCAACGGAGCAUUAUGAUUAGAACUAAUCACAAUAAUAUAUAGAACGAAAGAUCAAAACAGCAGGGUUGGCUCCUAGACUUCUCCAUUUUGAGGUAAUUCAAAAAUUCAUGUUGGUAAUGUUAUUUAGGCAGAUUAAUUUAUUAAUAUAGCUAAAUUGGUCUUUAAUUUAAAUUAGAUCACCUGCAUAUGAUAGAGGUAAAAGUUGAGAAUGUUUACAGAGUAAGUAGCAGAUGUAUCUCUAAGACCAUAAUAUAAUUGGAGCCUUGGUUAUCCAGUCAUAUAUAUAGGUGUCAUCACUAUGUAUGGUUUGUAGUUAUUUUCCAGUUUCUACAAAAGUUAGCUUUGGUAUAGUGGUUGCAUUGAAGUAGAACCUAUUGAGUUCUACAGUGCUUGAGUGUCGAGAUAUUUCCUAUUACGUAUUCCUGAUCCAUUGUGUGUCUAAUCAGUUUUGCGCGUAAAAUUUUCAAAUUGACAUUCACUUAAUGAUAGUUUCACGAAGUUAUUUGAAAAGACCCUUUGAGCUUAUUGAAAGCCAAAAACAAAAUUAAUGUUGAUACGCUGAAAUUCCUCUUUUCAACUGCCACCAAGUUGUAGAGUGCAUAACAGAUUCAAUUUUACCUCCUAAGAUUAGUAUUAGUAUUCAACAGUGGUAGCUUGUUUAGUUUAUUGUUUGACUUGCAAAUUUUUUGGAUAAUAGUUUUCUUUCAGGUGAAUAACUAUUAUUUUUUUAAAGCUUCAAUUUAAGUUGGUUUGGUAUCGGCAGACAGCAGAAAAUGUCCUUCCACAUUUGUGUUUUUGUACUAUUAACUGGUCUUUAAAGCUUGAAUUUAAGUGGCACAUGCUAGGAUUGUGGAUUUAGAAUUAGCAGCAUCAGUGUUUGGGAUUUUGGUGAAAUUAGCAGCAUGAGUCUAUGGUUGUUCUAUUGGUGGGGGCUGAUAAUUGGUGAUCUGGCUGAAAUGGUGUACAUUUAGACAAAGUGAAGAAAUCACACUCUUGGUGUUUCUUAUUGUUGUAGUUUUGAUGUAUAUUUUAUGGAUAAAUUUUUAAAAAUGGUGAAAUGAGCGAGAAUCCCGUUCUCAACAACAAUGAAAUUAACCAACAGACUAUUUAGAGAUCAAUAUCGGUAAUUAAAUUU